ACAGAUGGUAUAUAGAGCACUAUUCACAAGAACACAGACCUAGAAAAGAGGUUCCAUCUGGCAGAAGUGGCCCAGCCGGAAGCGCAAAAUAUGGAGAUAGAUCAAGAAAAAGCUGCCGUCAUGCUGGAGGAUGAACUCAAGAAAUUCAGGUCAGAUGUCCAGAACAUGCCCAGAAACCAUUGAGGGCAUAUAGUGCUAUUCACUAGAACAAGUCCCUGGAAUCAAGGGUUCAUCUGGCAGAAGUGGCCUAACGGGAAGCAGGGAAUAUGUAGCAAGAUUAGGGAAAAUUUGUUGCCAUGCUGGAGGAUGAACUCAACAAACUUGGGUCAAUGGUCCAGAAAAUGCGCUGCAAUAUGCCACCAGAACCAGUGUCUUAUCACUUAGUGUACAACAUGGAUGCACCCCAAUCUGAUGUUAACCAUCUGCCAACUAAAAAUGAGAGAGAUAAGUCUACCAGAGACAAGGAGAUAACAGCAUUCUUGAAGUCAUCUUCUCCUAGAGGGAGUGUCUGGUUUGAAAAUUAUAUACUGGUAUAUCAAAUUGAUUAAACCAAUUAUCAGUUUAUUCAGAAUUUGUUUUAUCAAAUAUGAGACUGUAUAUAUUCAUUUUUGCUGUAUGAACCCAUAUUUAUACGCCCGUCCUAGACAGGACGUAUUAUGGUAUCACGUUCAGUGUCCGUCCGUCUGUCUGUCCGUCCGUUAACUUUUCCUUGUAAAUGCGAUAACUUCCGUUUGACUUAACCUAGUCUCAUAUAAUUGAUUUUGAGGUCAAAGGUCAAGGUCACAGUGACAUAUUGUCAUCUUACCCUUCUGCAGUCCUUGUAAACAUGAUAACUUCAGUUUAACUUAAUCUAGGCUCAUAUAAUUUGGUGUGUAUGAUAUUAGCAUAGAUCCAAGGAAGCCUAUUUAUUUUUUUAGGUCAAAGGUCAAUGUCACAGUGACAUGUUUUCAUACUACCCUUCUGCAGUCCUUGUAAAUGCGGUAACUUUAGUUUAACUUAACCUAGGCUCAUAUAAUUUGGUAUGUAUGAUACUAGCAUGGAUCCCAGGAAGCCUAUGGAUUUUGAGGUCAAAAGGUCAAGGUCACACUGACAGGUUUCCAUCUUACCCUUCUGAAGUCCUUGUAAACGAGAUAACUUUAGUUUAACUUAACCUAGGCUCAUAUAAUAUGGUGUGUAUGAUACUAGCAUGGAUCCCAGGAAGCCUAUGGAUUUUGAGGGUCAAAAGGUCAAAGGUCAAGGUCACACUGACAUGUUUUCAUCUUACCCUUCUGAAGUCCUUGUAAACAAGAUAACUUUAAUUUAACUUAACCUAGGCUCAUAUAAUUUGGUGUGUAUGAUACUAGCAUGGAUCCCAGGAAGCCUAUUGAUUUUGAGGUCAAAAGGUCAAAGGUGAAGUCACCACCUUCCACUUUUCUUGCUUGAACAAUAACUCCAUUUUCCCCGUUACGGGCGGGAGUAUUAUGUGCUUGCCUUAGCGACACUAUUGUUAUGUUUCUUAUGAUGACUUUUGUGCAGUUCCAUGCAGCAGGUCCAAGCUAUUAUCUCUUUGCUGACAUGUCAUUGUUUCUGAAUUGUAUCUGUUGUUUUAUUAUUGGAUGCAUACUAUGGAGGUGUUGUGAGAGCUGAUAGUUUGCAUGCACAUUGCCUUGGACUUAGUCUACAUAUUGUAUAAUUUUAUUUGUUUUUGAAAAUUUCUAUUGAUUAUGUAUGCUAAUUUAUGCAUAAUUUGUAUACUUUUUGCCUUAAAAAAAAGGGUCAAAUUGUCCAAAUUUUUGGUGUAGAAACUAUUCUUGGUGUUGUUAUCAAAUGUUCGUGAAAAAAAUUGCGAUAUCAAGACAAUAUUUUUUUAAUUAGUUUGAAACUGCAAUUUCCUUUUUGUUUUUUUACUUGCUUUUCAUUGAUUUUUGUCUCGUCAUAUAGCAGAGCGAGACUACAUGUAUAGGCGCUGAUUUUCUGAUGGCGGCGGCUUCAUCAACAUCAAAUCUUAACCUAAGGUUAAGUUUUUUGAAGGACAUCAUAACUUAGAAAGUAUAUAGAUCUAGUUCAUGAAACUUACACAUAAGGGUGAUGAAGUAUUUCUGAAUAUCAUAGUGAAAUGACUUGUCCUCGAACUGUUUGAGGGAUCAGUUCUCACCUUUAAAUCUGUGUCACUCAACCCAGGUUAAGACAAAAACCCACUUUAGAUAGGUCUAGUAUUAUAAUUGAGUUAGAAAGUGCUUUCAUAUUAUUUGAUAUUUUACUUUCCUUUUUAUUGUCUCGCCUGCAUAGCAGAGGGAGACUAUAGGGGCCUCUUUUCCAACGGCGACGACAUCGUCAACAUAGAAUUCUUAACCAAGGUUAAGUUUUUGAAAUGUCCUCAUAACUUAGAAUGUAUUUGGACCUAGUUCAUGAAACUUACACAUAAUGGUGAUAGUGUAUCACUGAAGAUCCUGCUUGAGUUUUAGGUCACAUGACCAAGGUCAAAGGUCAACAAACUUUGACCAUGUUAGGGGGUAUUUGUGGAAUUGUCAUAACUUUAAAAGUUUAUAGGUCUAGUUCAUGAAACUUGGACAUAAGAGUAACCAUGUAUCCCUGAAUAUCCUGUGCGUGUUUCAGGUUACAUGACCAAGAUCAAAGGGUCAUUUAAGGUCAAUGAACUUUGUCCGUGUUGGGGGAAUUUGUUGAAUUGGCAUCAGAACUUAGAAAGUUUAUGGAUCUACACAUAUAGUUCAUGAAAUAUAUUCUACGUAAGGGUAAUCGAGUAUGAAUGAUUGUAUUGCACAUGUCAUAGGUCACAUGAUCAUAGUCAAAGUUCAUGUUGGGUCAAUGGACAUAGUAUUUCAUUAUCAUAUGAGUGUUUUCUUUUGUGAGUAAUCAAUAGCCGUUUUCAAAGUCAGCGCUGCUGUUAUAUUGAAUCGCUUAAUGCAGGCGAGACAGCCAGAGGCGUUCCACUUGUUAUUGUUUAGCAAAAAAAUUCUAGGAAUGUUUCACAAAAAACAAAAUCUGACCUAAAGUCAAGUCAUGCUGAAGCAUUAACAUGCUCAUGAUAUUUGAUAUACACAGUAUAAUCGUAAUCAAUCGUAACUCUAUGGAAAUCCAUUAGUUUCAUAAUUUUUUCCACAGGAAAUUUGCAAAAUGUCCUUCGUGAACGAAGGAUAACUCACCAAAUUGUCAAGAAAUCAAGAUACAUGUAUACAUUCAUAUCUAGACAUUUUUUUUAACAAACAUGCAUUUUAUAUGUUAACUUUGCUGGCUUUCCAUAGUUGCAAUUGAUAGGAUUAACCGCAACUCUAUGUAAGACGGGGCCCUGUUAUUUUCCACACGCAAGUAGAAAUUUAAUCACACUUAACUUUUUGUGAAACACCUCUUUAAUUUGUUUCUUAAGGCCUCCGCACACCUUUCGAAUGGUACACAAUCUGAUUUUGGAGCAAAUCACAUAUUGUUAACUUUCUGAAAUGUGAAUAACAACUACCUUUUUUUUCGAGGCUUAAAAUUAACUGUGAGUAUACUAAAUAAUUUUGGCUGAUUUUAAACCUUUAUUUUUUUAUUAGUAAAGGCCAAAUUGACUUUAAUUUGUAGUAAAUUGUAUGAUUGCUGUGACAUCACUUCAACUAGAUGUUCAUUUUUCAAUGCAAACGAUGAUGCUAGUAUAGUCACAUAUUUCAAUAUGAGUAUUGGUAGGAUGACUUUGUACAGCAAGAUGUCACAUGUACCCAACGUUUUUCUCGGAAAUCGGGUCGCAGAACAAUCAAAAGGUGUGCGGUGGCCUUUACAUCUAUGUCAGAUAGCUUGGACCUGCCCUACAGUGUACAAUUGUCUGUGCUAUAUACUAUACUUGCUUUGUAUUCGUGAGGUGUAUUUUUUCCUUUUAAAAAAAAAAUUGUAAGACCAGCAGCCUGGAAGACUUAUUCAAGUUGCAGGACCAUAGCAGUUGACCUCGAUUGAUGGUGGUAGGCCCUAAACCUUACAAGCAUGGCUUCCUGUCUGGUUUGAGCUGAGGUCUUCUUGCCAGAAUCACACAAUUAGUGACAUCACUACCAAGAGAUCUAUUUUUCAGUGUGCAGAGAAGGACACUGGACAAUGUGGUGCAUGGUAUACAACUUACCACAAUGUAAGUGCUUUAAUUAUGAUUUUGUGUUGCCUAAAGUAUGUGAGACAAUGCAAUAGGUUUCCCAGUAAUUUAUUGAGGGCAAUAGAAAAUAUUGGGCGGCAAUUUUACCCAUAUCAGGAUUUCUGUCUUUCUUUAUAUACCUCCCAGUACUAUUUGUGCCAGCUGUUGCUCUAACUUUAUCUUUGUUUCACAUUGUUGCAACAUUAUACAUUCCAUGACUGAUUUAAUGUGCUAAGAAUUUAAACAAUUUUUAUAAGAAAUUUAUAUAUACAGACAUUGAUCCAUUUUUUUUAGCUGUAGAGCAAUGAAAGAGCAAUGUGAAUUAUUUUGCAAUAUAUACUCCUUUUCUGUAUGUGUCAUUUCAAUUUGAAAUACACUGUACAGUAUUAUUCCACACUUACUGCGGUCAUUUUACCAUGUACCUACAUAAACCUCAUGUUUGUGCUAAUGCCAAAGGCACCACCAAAAACAUAGCGUUUGUACAAGUGCCGAGUGUGUAUCCAUCAUGACAUCAUGAAUGUGAAGAGAUAAUGUGGACUGCACGAAUGUUUAGAUAUGUGAUGAUAGAUGGUAGGACCUAAAAAUUGGUUUGUCUGCCCAAAUCUUCAACUUCGGAUAUAAAAUUUUCAACAAUUUUUAUGAGGGUGUGCACUUCAAUGUUUUUUUCCACAAUGUGUAAAAAAAAAUGCUCCUUCAAUCAGAGCAAUAUACAUGUAUGAAUCUUGUUUCAGAAGUGCAAUGUCAAAUUUUUACUUCUAGAGCCUUGCCAAUGUAGUGUUUCAAGUUGACCCAUUAUCCAUAUUGUAUUUGAAAUAUUGACGGAGCAGUUUAGCCAAUAUGGCUUUGGAGCUAAGUGGCAUUGAUAAGAUCGAUCAAAACCUGGUUUGCUCUCCAUAUGGAGCAGGUAACCAUUUUUUCUGCACAAAGAGAAGACAGAGGAACUGGUGAUGAAAAGAGUGCUGCUGACUUUCAGAAGUUUAUUUCAGUUGCGUGUGUCAUCUUUAUAUUUGGUGUUUGGAAUUGGGUAAUGUUGCGAUAAUCUUCAAGUACUGUGUGACCACAGGGAAUGGUGUUCCUUUCAGCUUACGCAUGAUAUCCAGAGCUCUUCAAGACCUCUUUACAAUUCACACGCCUCUUGGACUCACAAAUGCUAAUAUCUUGUGAGAGUGUUGGCCUCUUUCUGGUGGCAUUAGAGGAAUUCUCAGUGGAUCUAGUUCCAGUUAGUAAUUUUUGUCUUUUCCAGCCAUUUGAUAUUUUCCUGUGUUUAUUGGAUUUUCCCGGAUUCAUUUGACUCUGAUGGAAUGAAAGGCAAUCUGAAGUCUUGGUAUUAUAGAUUCAGAGACAACAAAGACUAUUUUUUGCUCCUCAUGCGUGCCGAUCUUGCCACCAAAAGGGAAUACAUCUGAUACAUUUUCUGGCUUUGUAACUCUACUUUUUAAACCACAAUCUACUUGUUUGAAUUCUAUAAAGGCAGAUUCUUUAAGUCUUUGUCAAUAUUCAUUUUCUGUGUCCAGGAGAAAACGCUCUUUCUUUGGAAUGAAUUUUGAAUAGAUUUCCUGUUCAGAGGAAUCUUCAUCAUGUUCAGGCAUUCAGAAAUGUAAUCCCUAAAAGUGAAGGGAACUUUCUGGCCCGUAUUCUCAUGUCAGGUUUAACUUAAACUCAGGCUUAAAGUUGUGGUUGAAGUAUGGAUAGCCAGUUACAUAAAUCACUUACAGUAGAGAUAUCAUAUUUCAGCUCAUUUGGCUCUCAAAUCAUUCAUAAUUGUCUAGGAAGUAUAAAUAGAUGAUUGUUUUCACCAUUGAAGAAUCAGGAAAGAGCCCAGCAAACAUCAGAAACAUAUAACUUAAUAAAAAUUUUGACACUUUUGGCUUCCCAUAAUUUUAGCACAGAGUUAGACCAUGGUCUAAGACAGUUAAACCUGACUUCAGAAUACGGGCCACUGUGUUUAACCCUACAUAGCCCAGGCUAUUUUGAAAUUACAUAGACAGUGGGUUGUCAUCAAUUUUUUUUGUCAAUGAAAGUUGUCAUCUCUAUUUUCAGUCAUAAAUACAUGAAAUCAAUAGCUUGUAAACAGCAAAGGUAAAAAUGAUGAUACAUUUAUUAAUUUUGGCUACAUACAGAAAUUGCAGUGAAUUUUUCAAAUUAAAUCACAGGUUUUAGCAAUUUUGGAUCUGAUAUGCACUUACAAAACGUUGCCAAACUUUGUAACUGCAUACCAUCGCAUUGUGAAUUUUGUCUUAAAAUUUGCAUAAGAAAUAUUUCAUUAAAUGUGUCCUGAUCUUUACAGAUUGAUCACGAAAAAUAUCAUGUGGGGCUAAAAAUAAGCCCCACCCCCCUACCCAGGCUAGAUAGGGUUAAGGUACAUGCUGAACAUUACCAGUUACUGGAGAAGGGCCUCCACUCAAUGAUCAAUUUGCGUAUGAUAUGGUGCUAUUUAAAAAAUCUCUUAAUGCGAAUUGGUGAGUCUUUCACUUCCUUGCAGUGAUCAUACAAUGCAUAAUUUGCAGACAAUCGUAGAAUUAGUUCCUUCUUGCUUAUGUAGUUCCAAUUAUCAUGUCAGAGAAGCUUGUCAGCCAGGUCCUGAAGCUUGACAUGAAGUGAUGCUAGCCUGCUCAUUCAUCCAUUUUCUGUCUGGGUAGGACAGUGAUUGGUAGAUUUUUCCAACAGUGUCAAUGUGGCUAAAGAAAUGGUUUCCUAUAUCCAGCGGGUGCCGUGCGGUCCGUCAGAUUUGAAAGUGCAUGUUUUGGUAGAUUUUCCUAACACUCCCAUGACAUUUUGGCAAAAGAAGUGGUUUUCUCCAUCCAGUCUGGAACAACUUUGGGCAAGUCUAUUGGGUGCUGUCUGUGAGAGUUCUCAUUUGGUUCCUGAUGACCAUUCGGCUGAAGAAAUGGUUUCUUAUAUCCAUGGAAAGAUUUUUUUGGAAAUUUUAUUGGGUGCUGUCUCUGAAAUUUGACAUUUCGCUUCACUACUAUGGUUCAUGCAUUGUAUUGUAAUGAUUGAUGGGGAAUUAUAAACCAUUGUGGGAUAUGAACUGGACUCCCUCAGGACAAGCCUAUGUUGAAGUCCUAACCUCGUUAGAUCUAUCUAUCAUUGUCGGUGCCUCGCCUGAUCUCUCAGAGUUCAUGGUGGCAUGAUGGAUACAGAAUGCACGCAAACAUUUGGUUCUUGUAUGAUGGUGAAUGAAUAGAUUAGCUUGAUAGGGGAAAACUUAAUUAUUUUUCCUGUUGGUUUCUAUUUUGAUAAAAUGCAGUAUUCAUUGAAAUUCAUAGAAAUGAAAAUGCAUCAUGUACAGAAAAAGGUUUAUUUAUUUGCAGAAUCGUAAUAGAUUUGCUCUUUUAAAUGAAAAGCUCCCCCCCUAAAAAAAAAAAAGAAAUAGCCAAUCAAAAUGUUUUAAUGAUAUGAAUUU
Molecule: long non-coding RNA, 7496 nt
Organism: Lytechinus pictus (painted urchin)
Lineage: Eukaryota; Metazoa; Echinodermata; Echinoidea; Temnopleuroida; Toxopneustidae
Exons: 3
Source: RefSeq, a predicted model, not a curated record